CCUUCCAAUUGGAGGAAAAGCAGGUCAGGUCUCUGUCAUCUCCAAGACCAGCCUAUAGGCCUUUAAAGUUUCCCUGUUUCUUAAUGUGGGGUCUACAGGGUUUCUCAGAGGCAAAGCAUGAACAGACCAAGGGUCCUAUAGCUCCCAACCUAGUCCUUAGAUUUCUCUCUGGCCUUGGUUACUCCCACAAACCACUGUGAGCCUACCAAGGGCAGGAAUGGAAAUGCCCAUCAGCCUGGGAACCAUCUUUUUCUCUUAGGAGGUAUCCGCCCUAUAGUUACCUUUACACAACACUUGUGAAUAUCAAGUGUUCUAGACUGCACUGUUCAUAAUUGACUACAGAGAAGACUAGGAUCUUCUCCACAAAUAGAAAUAUAUCACUUUUACUUGGAGAUGUUUUCUUGGGGGAAAAAAAAUCUAGCACCUUGAAACCUGUUACAAUGUUUAAAUCUCCCUUCUUUACCUUGGCUGUCAUAAAAUCCUCCUGUUUGAGCUAAAUGUGGCCUGCUGAAGUCUUAAAUGCCCAUAUUUUUCAGGCUAAGGCCAUGGUGGACAUAGCUAACUCCACUAGAAUCCUAGCUGGGGGUGUUGGAAAAAACGGUACAGUGCCCCUCUCAGACUCCAGGCUCACGUCCGUCUCCCCUCCCCGCACAUUAUAAUCUACUACUUCUCUAAUGCUGCUGCGUAGUUUGUCUUAAAGCCUCAAGACUGGCCAGAUGUGCA
Molecule: long non-coding RNA, 723 nt
Filed under: Homo sapiens (human)
Lineage: Eukaryota; Metazoa; Chordata; Mammalia; Primates; Hominidae
Description: long non-coding RNA NONHSAT235492
Source: RNAcentral